Molecule: ribosomal RNA, 452 nt
Filed under: uncultured bacterium
Lineage: Bacteria
Description: partial 16S ribosomal RNA
Rfam family: Bacterial small subunit ribosomal RNA
Source: RNAcentral
GAUGAACGCUGGCGGCGUGCCUAACACAUGCAAGUCGAGCGAUUUACUUCGGUAAAGAGCGGCGGACGGGUGAGUAACGCGUGGGUAACCUGCCCUGUACACACGGAUAACAUACCGAAAGGUAUGCUAAUACGAGAUAAUAUGCUUUUAUCGCAUGGUAGAAGUAUCAAAGCUUUUGCGGUACAGGAUGGACCCGCGUCUGAUUAGCUAGUUGGUGAGGUAACGGCUCACCAAGGCGACGAUCAGUAGCCGACCUGAGAGGGUGAUCGGCCACAUUGGAACUGAGACACGGUCCAAACUCCUACGGGAGGCAGCAGUGGGGAAUAUUGCACAAUGGGCGAAAGCCUGAUGCAGCAACGCCGCGUGAGCGAUGAAGGCCUUCGGGUAGUAAAGCUCUGUCCUCAAGGAAGAUAAUGACGGUACUUGAGGAGGAAGCCCCGGCUAACUACGUG